UUUAAGGUCUGACCUGCCCUAUGAGGAUUUAAAUGGCCGCAGUAUUUUGACUGUGCAAAGGUAGCAUAAUAAUUAGUUUUUUAAUUGAAAGCUUGAAUGAAUGGUUGGACGAGAAAAUAGCUGUCUUUAGCUUAUUGGUGUAGAAUUUUAUUUUUAAGUAAGAAAGCUUAAAUUUUUUUAAAAGACGAGAAGACCCUAUAGAAUUUUAUAAAUUUUUAGUUAUUAUUAUUUGAAGGUAUUUAUUUUUUUAUAAUUAAGUAUUUAUUUUGUUGGGGUGAUAUAAAAAUUAAAAUAACUUUUUAUUUUUAAUACAUUAAUAUAUGAGUUGUUGAUCCAUAGUUUAUGAUUAUAAGAUUAAAUUACCUUAGGGAUAACAGCGUAAUUUUUUUUUAGAGUUCUUAUUGUAAGAAGAGUUUGCGACCUCGAUGUUGGAUUAAAAUUAACUUUUGGUGUAGGUGCUAUUAGGUUAGGUCUGUUCGACCUUUAAAAUUUUACA
This 496-nucleotide ribosomal RNA is filed under the name Astaena sp. DA3507. RNAcentral describes it as "partial 16S large subunit ribosomal RNA". It matches the Rfam family "Bacterial large subunit ribosomal RNA", at positions 1844 to 2600 of the family's 2925-position model. Lineage: Eukaryota; Metazoa; Arthropoda; Insecta; Coleoptera; Scarabaeidae. The record is from RNAcentral.